UGGUCCGCAGUCGACGAUUCCUACGGGAGGCAGCAGCAGGGAAUAUUGCACAAUGGGCGCAAGCCUGAUGCAGCGACGCCGCGUGAGGGAUGAAGGCUUUCGGGUUGUAAACCUCUUUCAGUGGGGAAGAAGCGCAAGUGACGGUACCCACACAAGAAGGCCCGGCCAACUACGUGCCAGCAGCCGCGGUAAUACGUAGGGGCCAAGCGUUAUCCGGAUUUAUUGGGCGUAAAGAGCACGUAGGUGGCAUGGUAAGUCAAAGGUGAAAGCCCUCGGCUCAACCGAGGAAUUGCCUUUGAAACUGCUUUGCUUGAGUCCGGGAGGGGGGAGCGGAAUUCCCAGUGUAGCGGUGAAAUGCGUAGAUACUGGGAGGAACACCGGUGGCGAAGGCGGCUCCCUGGACCGGUACUGACACUGAGGUGCGAAAGCGUGGGUAGCAAACAGGAUUAGAUACCCUGGUAGUCCACGCCGUAAACGAUGGGCACUAGGUGCAGCGGGUGUCGACCCCUGCUGUGCCGUAGUUAACGCAUUAAGUGCUCCGCCUGGGGAGUACGGUCGCAAGGUUGAAACUCAAAUGAAUUGACGG
This 586-nucleotide ribosomal RNA is filed under the name uncultured Terriglobales bacterium. RNAcentral's name for it is "bacterial SSU rRNA". It matches the Rfam family "Bacterial small subunit ribosomal RNA", at positions 320 to 916 of the family's 1533-position model. Lineage: Bacteria; Pseudomonadati; Acidobacteriota; Terriglobia; Terriglobales. The record is from RNAcentral.